UAAAGUGCGAUAUGUAGUGCGAUUUGCAUGAAUCUGUGAGUCAUCUAAUCUUUGAACGCAACUUGCGCCUCUUUGAGGCAUGUUUGUUUGAGUGCCACAUAACCCUAUGCAGCAAUGCGACUUGAUUCGAGUCUCUGGACUGAAUCUAAAAGUAGCCAGAUGGUGGUCAGUGUGACUAGCCCGAGUGCUAAGCAUUCUUGGAUCUAGUUUCGCAGCCAUUAAACACUUUAUAUUUUUGGCCUCAAAUCAAGCAAGACUACCCGCUGAACUUAA
Molecule: unclassified non-coding RNA, 273 nt
Filed under: uncultured fungus
Lineage: Eukaryota; Fungi
Description: sequence contains ITS1
Rfam family: 5.8S ribosomal RNA (bases 1-97)
Source: RNAcentral